CAUUUUUGGAGACACUGCAGCAGAUUUGGUUUUUCUCAGAGCACUUCUGCAGCUGCUGAAUGCUUGCAGGCACAGGGGUCUCCUGCUUUUCAGACUUUUCCACUACUCCCUUUUCUAUCUUUGAUGCUAAAAGCAGAAUGGACUGAGAGAUGCCUUGGACAUAAGUGAUUUCACAUCUGUAACUAUAUCCUGCAAACAUUUGUAGACACAUCUUGGGAAAGAAGCACUCAUGCUUGCAUCUGUUUCCAACAUCUGUGCAUUUAAGUCAGCAACAAAAGUCACCAGGCAUUUGAGCUUUCCCUGCUAUAAUGUUUCUGAUUUACCUUGACAGCGUGAGUAAUCCAAUCAAAGACAAUAUUCCUCUUGAUUUCAGUAAUGAGAGAGACUACACUUAUCUGAAACCUGUGUUACAUUCAUCUCACCAAUACAGUACUAAUGAAAAGGACAAAUAACUGAGUCUCUCUUGGUGGCCUGCAUGCAACUGCUUAAAUACAUAAGUGCAUAGCAACAAUAUGUGAAUAACAUAUAAAAAUAAAUAUGUUCAAGUGCAGCAGGGUGAGUGG
Molecule: long non-coding RNA, 563 nt
Filed under: Homo sapiens (human)
Lineage: Eukaryota; Metazoa; Chordata; Mammalia; Primates; Hominidae
Description: non-protein coding lnc-UNC13C-8:1
Source: RNAcentral